Molecule: long non-coding RNA, 7641 nt
Filed under: Olea europaea subsp. europaea
Lineage: Eukaryota; Viridiplantae; Streptophyta; Magnoliopsida; Lamiales; Oleaceae
Source: RNAcentral
CCUCUCUCUCUCUCUCUCUCUCUCUCUCUCUCUAUUCUGGACUUUCAUCUUCUUCGUCUGAUUUUCUUCGAUCUUUUUGAUCUCUUAUGAGUGAUCUAGCUAGAAUAUUAGUUGAAUCUAUGGGAUUCAUGUUGCUACAGUAAUCAAGCCUGAAAUAUUGGCUGAUUUGGUGUUUGUAGUGGUUGGCAAAAAGUCAUGUUCCUAUUUUUGGUAAGGUUCUUGAGAUUUAAGAGAUCCAAGUGUGGAUCGAUGAUUAUCUCUAAGUCCAAUUCCGUCUUCAUGCUUGUACUCCAUUUGGAUGGUUUUUUUGUGCUUAGUAAUCGGGCUAAUCUCUGAGCCUCCAGAUUAGGCAAUUGCCGAACUAGGUGAACAAUUUAUCGCGUUCAUUUACUUUUCUUGCACUGUGUUUGAUGUUUCCUUUACAGUUUUCUUUAACAAUAAGUAGGAAGAAAGCCUAACAACUGGUAUUAGAGCCUUUGAGGUUCUUGGGGGUGCAAGUUUUUGAACCAAAAAUUGUUUGAGUUAAUUUUUCUUGGUCUGAUUUUUCUUGGGGUUGCCAAUUUUCUUAACAAACUGUGAGGCCAGCAAUAUUAGAUCAGUUUUUUAAUAUAAACUAAAAGAUCUAAUUCUUGUCUUUUCUGUAUUGUUGUUUUGGAAGGAAAAAGGUUGGUGAAAGGUGGUAAGACAACUACGGUCUACUUCCAGAAAUGAGGAGUUCUUUCUGUCCUCAAGUUGAGACCAGCAGUGUGUUCUUCUUUAUUGUUAAGACAGUCUAUGGUGAGUACGUUUUAAUUUUUUUUGCUUUUGUAGAGUAAUUUCAAUUCUUGAUAUUUGAUAUGAGAUAUAUACAUGUGAUACAUGGUAGAAUGGGUACUGUGAUUUGAAUUGGAUACUUCUGUUAGUGUGAGCAUAUUGCAUUAGAUAAGUUCUUCUAUAUAACUUGGUGUACUCACUCUGUAUCAAAUAUUAUUGUUCUUAUUUCAAAUUUGGUGAACAUAUAUCUGCGUGGAUUCUUGGAAUUUUUUCAAAACCAUUUUCUGCUCACUAGUUGAUCUUUAAUUCAAGAUUAAAACUAUGUCCAUGAGUAUAGGCUACCCUUUUACAAAACUCGUGAUGGGUUCGAAGGUCGAAUUGUCUAAAUUCGAUGGAAAGGAGGAUUACUCUAUAUGGAAGCAGAAAAUGAGAGCUAUUUUGGUUCAACAGAGUGUCGCUAAGGCCCUUUAUGAUCCUAAAACUUUUUCUGCAGAACUUAAGACAAAACCAAAUGAAAUUGAAGACAUGAAUGAAAUUGCUUAUAGUUCCAUAAUUUUACAUUUGUCUGAUAACAUUGUAAGGCAAGUUGAUGAACCCAAAACUACUAGAGCCCUAUGGACUACUCUUGAUGCUAUGUUCCUAACUAAAACACUUCCAAAUAAAAUUUUUCUCUUGGAGAAGCUGUUUAACUUUAGGAAAGACCUUGAGAAGGACUUAGAGGUAAAUUUGAGUGAAUUUAGUAUAAUAGUGAAAAGCCUUGCACACAAUGAGAAAAAAUUUGAUGAUGAAGACCUUGUUGUAAUCCUGCCAAACUCAUUACUUGACUCAUAUAAAAAUGUUUAAAAAAAAAAAAAAAAUACUCAAGGGAUAAACUAACUCAAGCUAUAGUCAUUGAUGCUUUGAGGCCUAGGUAGUUAGAAGUCAAAAUGGAAACUAAAUCUAAUCCUAGAGAUGAAAGCAUGUAUGUAGGAAGAAGACCUGUAAAGAGAGAGUAAUUUUUCCACAAAGAAGGGAAAAGGGAAAUUCAAAACCAUAUCAAAAUUUAGAGAUAAAAGCAACAAGAAGUGUUACAUUGUGGAAAAUUGGGACACUUCAAAAGGGAUUGCUUUGAACCAAAAAGGAAACAAAGAGAUCUUAAUAAUGGGGAGUUAAAUAAUAACACUAUGGAAGCUGGGGUUGACAGUCUCUAUGGUGAGGAAGUUAAUAAAGAUUGGUUAUUAAAGUCCAAGUGUACCUUUCACACGUGCCCUAUAAAAGAUUGGUUCCAUAAUUACAAAGAAAUAGAACCGAGGAAAGUGUACUUGAGGGAUAAUAAUUCACAAACUAUUGUUGUAAUUGGAAAUAUUGCCAUAAAAAUGCAUAAUGGCACUGUCAAGUCAAUCUUGAAUGUAAGAUAUGUUUCUAAUCUGAAAAGAAACCUAAUAUCCUUAGGGAUUCUUGAAGAUGAAGUACAUACCUUCAAGUCUGACAACAAAGUAUUAAAAAUAAUGAAAGGUUCACUUGUUGUGAUGAAAGGAUAAAAAAUAGAUGGGUUGUACUAGCUUGAAGGUAAAGCGAUUAAUGUUCUUGAUUCCAAUCUACCCACCGUUACUGAGAAUAAAACUGAAUUGUGGCACGAAAGAAUGGGACAUAUUGGGAAUAAAGGGUUUUAAAAUCUUUAAGUAAUCAAAGGUUGCUUGGAAAAGAUUUUGUUGAAACCAUAGAAUUUUGUGAAACCUGUGUUCUUGGAAAAUCUCACCGGAUGAACUUUGAAACAGGUUCACAUGUUACUAAGAAACCCUUAGAUUAUGUCCAUGCCGACUUAUAGGGGCUUGAAAGUCACCCCACUUUUGGUGGCAAUAGAUAUUUUUUUUCAUCUAUUGUUGAUGAUUAUUUUAGAAAAGUGUGGGUCUUUUCUUUUAAAGGCUAAGUCUGAUACCUUUCAAAAAUUCAGAAUAUGGUUGAAAAUCAAUUGGAUAAAAAAUUUAAAAUCUUAAGGACUGACAAUGGUCUUGAAUUCUGAAUUUCAAAACUUCUGUAAACAGAAAGGUAUCUUGAGACAUAGGACUGUCAAAAACACCCCCAACAAAAUAGGACCUUGAUGAAUAAGGUCAUAUGCAUGCUGAUCAGUUCAGGGCUUACAAAAGGGUUCUGGACUGAAGCAGUGUGUACAGCUACUUAUCUAAUUAAUAGAUCACUUUCAAGUUCCAUUGGACUUAAAACACCCCGGGAAUUAUGGUCUGUCAAAAAACUAGACCUGUCUAAUACCAAGGUAUUUAGGUAUGCUGCUUGUGCACGUCAAGUUGAAGGGAAGUGAGACCCAAGGGCAACAAAAUGUAUUAUGUUGGGUUACUCUGAAGGUAUAUAUUUUAUGUGGUUAUAAUAUUAUACUAGUAUCGAUAUAAUACCAAUCAUGACAUAUAUUUUAAAAGUUUAGUAAAGAACAAAUUACUAUUAAGUAGUAAAGUAUAUCCCUCUAUAAUACACAACAUUGACUCUUCUAGUUUAUGUUUGGUUCUAUCUUUAGACUAAAGGAAAACCAAGCCCGACAGAAUAAGCAUUUGAAAGCUUUUAUAACAUGUUAAAAUUUAAUUGGAAUAUUUUUAACUUUUUAUCAAAUACAUCCCAUCAAAAUAUUGAACAAAAAUAAACAUCUGUGAUACACCGAUAAUAUGUUAUUCCUAAACAACAAAAAUAAAUUCGUGGCAUGUUUCAAAUUCUAGUGGUCAAAUGAAAUCAUAAGAGAAUUAUCAUUAACAAUUAUGAGAAGUCUUACAGAAGCAAUUUCUCUUCAUUCACCAUGCAAAUAUGAUCUAAAGUCCAAUCUAACUAUCAACUAAAAUACGUUAGAAUAUAAUAAAGAGACUUCAUUUUGCAUGUUCAUACGUAUAAACACAUUCCGAUUUCAAAUAUUCAAUCCAAUGCAACGCCAUGGAUAUUUUUCAAAGAAUAAAUUUGGGAACAAAGAUUGAGAAGAAAAUUCCUUUGUCGCCAGAUAAGGAUUGGCAUUUCCCGCAUCACAAUUUUUUUUUUCUUUUCAGACAAAAAAUUGUUUAUUGAUCAACGAGAAAAUAAAGCUUUUGCAUAAUUAUUAGGCGAGAUUAAAUUGCACGGUAUUCUUUUAAAAUAUUUGCAUGCACAGGUCACGAUUCUUCAAGAAUAUAACUAUAUUUUUUCGAUUAUUAAUACGAUAUUUAAUUAUAUCAUAUUUAGUUAUUCUUUUUUCAGGAUUGUAAAAUAAUUAAACAUUAUUAGAAAUUAUAUGAUAUUUUCAAGAUUUAUGGUAUUUUAGGAGCACAACAUGAUAUUUUUAUAAAAUUAAAACUUAUAAAGUAAUGCUCUUUUAAGAGCAAUAGCACAUUUUUCCCCUUAUUAUUUGAAUUUGUGUUUCUUCAAGAGCAAUGAAAUAAAUGUUUUUUAAAUAAUAAUUUCUUCUUGAAUAUUGAUUUUAUAUUUAUACUAUUUCAAGAGUAGUAAUACAAGGGAAGUGUUACAUGUACAUAAUUGUUUACUUAAUGAUAUUCAGAAUUACAUGUGGCAUUGGAUGUAACCUUUAAUACAAAUCUCACACUUGCACAUCAACAAUCAGAUAAUUGCCACAUCAUAUUAUGGACACAAUUAUGUGUAAUAAUUAUGUACAAGUAGAAUUUUCUAGUAAUACAAUAUUUUUUGUAAUAUUGCCAAGAGCCCUAUCAAUCGGUAUAACUAAAAAAAUAUUUACCACUUUGUUUUAUAACUCAAAGUUGAGAGAAUACUUACAUUUUCUUUAAAUGAAAAGAAGAUUUUCCUUAUGAACUCAAUUAAUUCUCUAACUCAUCCAUCAUGUCAAGGCCAAAUUUGAUUUGUCAAUCCUCCUUAGAAAUCGGUGACUAAGGUGGGAAUGCUUGCGUGAAUAAAAGGAAAUUCUUUUAAGCUGAGCAGCAGCAUUAGCCUCUUCAAUGACAACUUUUGAUGAAACAAAACUAAAAAAGCCUAUUUGCCCUCGACGAGAAUUCACCCAGCCAUUUAUAGAGUGGUAAAGGAAUCUCGUCAUGCAUCACGAAUUAGGUGGCAAAGUGGUAUGAUGAGAACAAAUGGUAGAAAUGGCUAGGAAUUUUGUCCUAUUUCUAUUUCCCUUAUGUGCAUAUUUUAUUGAGAAUUAAAUUUCUAUAUUUAUGUUAAAAAAAUAAAGGUGCAAGGAAUAAUUGUUAUAAUAAUUUGGACCAUAGGGAUACAAUGAUCAUUCACUAAUUAUUAUUUAAUUUAGAACAUUUAGGUCCAUAUAUAAUUACAAAGUUUAUUUUUAUAGAGAGCAAGUAAAAUACUUCAUUACUAGGGUGUUGGAUGAAGAACACAAUGCAAGAUGACAAAUCUAGAUCAAUCGGAGGAGCAUUGUGAAGAUUGAGCUUUUAUUAAAUAAAAUUGAAUUUUAAUUCCAUUUAUUUUGGUUGAAUUAUGAAUAUUAUGGCUUUUAAUUUUUGUCAUUAUCUUUUUGGUUUAUUAAUUAUCUAAAUUCUAGUUAAUUUUUUAAAAUAAGGGUGUAAGCCAUUACGGCAAUAUGUUAUUUUUGGGGAAAAAAAUUAUUAUAGAUUUUGGAGUUUUUCAUUCUCUUAAAUUUUAAUUAUUUGAUAUUAAAAAUUAACGAGUCCAAAUUUUUUAUAUUUGUACAUAAACCGAAAAGUUUUUGAUGCCUAAAUUUUUGGUAUUCUUAGAAAUAAAUAGAAAUUAGAGGGUGAUCAUGUUGCGAUAUUCAUUUGAAAUCAAUGAAACUUCAAUAGUGUGUUCAUUUAUUUAUUUGUAUCGCUUCCAUCUACAUCAAAAACUAAGUUUGAUCUUCCCCUACACUCUCCAAAUUGUAAUAACGGCUCUCGAUGAAGCGAGCCAAAUGUUUUCUAAGGUCUUUUCAUCGAUUGAAAAUGGCACCUAGCCCAUAAACAUGCGUAUUUAUAGAUUAUAUUCAUCAUUGAAUUAUAAUGGGUCUACAUCUAUCCAUUAUAUUAAUGAGAAUCAGGAUAACUCGGCCUCCGAGCAUUUUUAAUCUACCGUCCAACUUGUUUUAGUUAAUUAAGGUCCCAUCAAUUUAGCAUAACAUAGAAAAAUUCCCAAAAAAAAAAAAAAAAAAAAAAAAAACCAUGUUGUUGUCAAGUGUAAUUUGCAUUAAUAUUCAAUGGUACCUUUCUACAUUUAUGAAGAUAAUAGGAAGACGUUCAAAUUCAGAGAAUUGCAGCCGUAUUAGCAGGAUACCGUAAAUAAGUAUUUUGAUUAUUGCAAUACAGAAUGUAAUAAAAAAAUUGUAGUAGCAGUUUUUUCGCAUGUGCUAGAAGGAUGGCUCGAUAAAGCCAUUAGCGUUGAAUAAGACUAAAGUGUCGAUAUAUUUGACAAAGUGAGGUGGAAAUUUAACUUUCGGCAAAAGCUUUACGAUAAACUUCGUAACGUUUACUAAUUUCAUUGAGAAUUAACCAAAUUUUCAUUUCUCAUCUCUUAACUUACAACUGCAGGACAAAAGUCAUUUUUGGAGAUUUUCCUGUGACCUUAUGUAAAAUGUGUGUAAAGAAUUUUAACAACACAAUUUAUACUAGUAAAGUCCAAAUUCAAUUGGCCAAAGUCACAACUAAAAGAGGACUUGAAUGAGGUAAAUAAUUUUAAAGGGACAUUUUACUGUUACACUAAAAGUCUAAAUUGAUAACAAAAAAUUGUAUAAUAAAGAAGAUGAGGGACUUGUCUUGCAAAUUUCCGUUUAGUGCUCAAUUGAAUUGGUGCCGUUUCUUUUGUUGAGAAGUGAAAGAAACCGUGAAAGAAGAAGAAGAAGGCCGGCAAGGUGAUUGGGAAAUGAUUGAUAUACACAACUUAAGCUUAGUUUCUUCAAUUUCCUGAGAAAGCAAGAAAUUUACUUAUUGAAAAGUUGUGUUAAAUUUUAGAACUUUUAGAUUCUUAGCUUAAAUUCGAAAUUUUGAAAGAGGAAUGAUUGAUUUAAGUGUAAUAAGCAAUUUAUUUAAGUUAAGAAAAGAAAAUAGCAGUUUAAAGUUUUAGGUUUCUUGAGCUAGUUGAUAACCUCAUUGCAUCCCGCACAGUGCUUUUGAGCAUGCAUAGUGUCCGCCCCAUUUUUACUUUCAUAUUUUAUGUAUCAGGUAAUUUGGUUAAAAGCGAACCUGUAUUACUCAAGAUUUAAUGUACAAUAUUGCUAAUUUUAUUUUGCUUUUCAAUGUGUGAUCCCUGGAUGCAGAUAUUAAGUUCAGAGUAGUAUGAGCUUGUAACAAAAUCGCUUUUGGAUCAUGUGGAAGAGAAGGGAAAAAUUGUUGAUGAUGAUGGAAACCUUAACCAUGCUCUCAUCAAAAAGUAAAUUUUUGAAGUAUCAUAUGUAGAUUUCCUAAUCAUAUCCAGUAAGGCUCUCACUAUAUACUUGUCUUUGCAGAGUAAUUGAUGAAACCGAUACAUAUAGAGACGGAAAUAUAACAAGAGAAUCGGCAGAGUUGUUGAAAAAACUCGUGCCAGGGAUGUCCGACAGUGAUAUAGACGCAACUGUUUUUAAAUCAAUGGAAAAUUUUGAUCACGACAAAGACAAUAAAAUCAACCAACAUAAAUUCAAAAAAGCAUGUGAAUAAUUAUUUGAAGAUGGUGACUUCUUUACAAGAGAAUUUUCGGAUGAGGCAAGCUCCCUAAUUAAUGCAAAUUUUAAAACUAUCGAUACUAAUACAAGUAUCUCGUGACAGUUUUAUUAGCACGAUGUUGUUUCUGUAAAUGCAUUUAGGGUCCUAUCAUAGUUUUCUUAUAAAGGAUGAACCAAAAAUAUCCAAAUUUUUUAUUGUAUUCUAUCCCUAGUAAUUUUACAUAAUUCACCAACAUUUAUUGAACACCAUGUUGUUGUCAAGUGCAAUAUGCAUCAAUAGUAGUUUUUGAAAUUAAUUAUAAAUACAUUCCUUAUUCGGGUUG